Long non-coding RNA from Solanum pennellii, 4965 nucleotides. RefSeq lists it as uncharacterized. The record is from RefSeq and is a predicted model, not a curated record. The transcript is spliced from 2 exons. NCBI's taxonomy places the organism in Eukaryota, Viridiplantae, Streptophyta, Magnoliopsida, Solanales, Solanaceae.
AGUGAAACAAUAUAGCAGCCUGGCGCGUCCUAUCCCCCUCUCCCUUAUCCUCUCGUACAAAAAUGUACUCGAAUGUCCCAGGUGUCGAAAUCUCCUUUCUCCUCGUCCUUCUCCUCAAAUCGGACGUCCCAAUUUUUUUUUCCGGUUGAACAAUUGUACAAGCUCAUACUAUUCAGCCUCAACAUUAUCUCUUUGGGUUUUUUCAAUUUCGAAAUGGGACAUGGAAUCUCAAUUUUACCCCAGCCUUUUUUGAGAUUUCCUCCGCUCUCCACCAGUCGAAAAAAACCUAAUCCAUUCCUAUAUAUAUAUUGCUUUUCGCUCACUGUUGAGGGGGAGAUUUUCUUUUUCUUUGAUUUUUUGGGGUCAGAUUCUUGUUUUGGCUGGAAAAAACUCUCUCUGCGAGAAAAAUACUCACAACAUUUUAAAAAAAUAUAGACAAGAAUGUAUCUAUAAAGCUUUCCUAGUUCAGUUCGAGGGUUGGAUUUUGGCUUUGCGAAUUUCCGUCCGUUUGUUUGUAUUCUGAGUCUCGUAGUGAAGUCACUUCUUUCCCUGCUCGUGUUUGUUCCGGAAUCGCUGCGCUUAAAAAGGUAAACACCACUCCCGCUCGUAUCACUUAUUUCUUAAGGUGUUGGUCGUCUCUUGCUUAGAGGUUAUAAGUUGUGCAAAAUGCUAAAAGUUGGAAGGAAAUUUUGAUCUGCUUUUACUCUGUCAUUGGUGUUUUUCCUUUGUUUUGGGGUUAUAUUUUCUACUUAUUUUCGUACAGAUAGAAGUCUUGUUGACUUCGUCAAGCUCUGAACUGCUCCUCUUGUUCUUUCUUUUGUCUGAUUGCUAGUCCUUUGAACCUAUUUGUGACUCUCUAUUUAGUUUUGAAGUUUGGGUACGAUCUAUCCAUUUACUUAGCCUAAUAUGUAGGAAUCUCUGUUUUUCUUAGUCGGUAUUUGUCAAUCGAGUAUUUUAUAAGACCUGUCUUCUUUACAUCAUAGAUCGAAUGUCAUUAUCACCCCAUUAAUUAUUUGUUCUUCGACAGUUUUCUUAUGUUUAAGAUGUUGUAGCUUCACUAGAUGGAUUGGAUUAAAUACCGUUAGAUUUUACUAUCUUAUUUUUUUUUACUUUGUAUGUAGAUCGUUUAGUUGCCAUGUUCAUAGCAUCUACCUUGACAUUUCUUAAGCCCUUCUGUUGGUCAUUAAUUGUGUGCAUCCAUGUAUAUGAUAUAUUUGGCAGUGUAUGCAUUUUCUCCGCAUGCUACUGCAAAGUUCCUUUUCUUGUUUUCUUUAAGGUUUUGUUGGUGCUAUUUUUGUUUUACUUGGUUUGCAUUCUUGUCUAUUGGUAUCCCCUUUAGUAGAUUUUUUUUAGUAAAAUUUGCUUUCGUUCUAUAUUAUCUCAUAUGCUAACCCAUCUAUUUUAUUGCAUGUAAAAAUUCCUUUCGGGUCUUUAUGGACUUUACUUCAUCCGUUUGCAUCCUCUCGUCGAGCCGUAAAAGAUCACACUACCAUAUCCGAGCCGUCCAUCACCCUCUAAACUGGUGUACAGGUCGAAAACAGCAAAUAAAUCACUGGAAAUUAAAUUACAGGUCUCCAGAAGCUUAGAAACGGGCUGUUAUACCCGUUUUAUACACCAAUAUACAGGUCAAAACAUGCAUAGGGGGGCUAAAUUCAAAAUGAAGGUUGAGAGAAGUAAAAAUAUACUGCUGAAAAAUAUUUGUCAGCCCCCAAAAGUCGAAGAACAGGUCGAUACACUAGUUGUAUACACCAAUAUACACGAUUUAUACAGCGAUAUAUAGUAAUAAAUAUAGUAUACAGGUCCAAAUAUUUGGAAGUGCAGAUUGGGAAAUACAGCACAUAAAAUUAGAUACGGUAAAGGUUCAGGAAGUUUCAAAACAUGCCGAAUAUGCAUUUUAUACAGCAGUAUACAUUAAGUGUAUACCAAAUUUAAUGAGAAAUGGGGCCAAAGCUCAUCUGGGUCCCCUUGCGGAAUUCUGUGCAAAAGGGUCACGGCCCAAAAGUGAAAGCAGAAAGAAAAAAGUAUAAAUUAUAGGAACCACUUAUUAUAAAUACAAAACAACCUUUUAUCCCUUUUAGAAUUGAAAUUACGAAAAAUCCUUAAAACUCAAGUUACCGGGAUACAUCCAGAGAGCACGGGAUACAUAACUUGUGAUACAUCGUAGUUGACAUCUGUUGCGGUUAAUUAGGAAGAUUUAACGUGAUUUUUGUUAUUAUUAAUUGAAAUCACGUAAUUAAUACUCUACAGCUUGCGUAACUGAUUAGUAAUUCAAAUUUUAAAUCAGAGUAGCUUCCUAAAUCAAAAUUAUUCCUGUAAAAGUUGAUCUGCAUUCUAAGAAAUAAAAAAAACAGGUCUGAAGAUGAAUAUCUCAAUUCUGCUGCUGCAUUCUGGAAUUUGGGUAAGCGAUGUUAAUUAUGAAGGUUACAAAGUUGAUGGAAUUGUUGUUGGCCAUUCCAUUUCAUUUGUGAAUCUGAAAACGUUGAUUUUAUCAGAGCUUGAGAUCGACACUGUUACAAAGGAUAUUGAAAUCCGAUACAUUGUUGAGGGAAGCUCAUGUCCAUUGAAAAUGAAGAACGACAUGGGUGUGAAACUUUAUUUUGAAGUUAAAAAGAAUGCAUCUGGAAUCGACAUGUAUCCACUUUGUAUUGAUACAACUGAUAAAAUUGUUGGGGAGAUACGUAAUUUUGAUUGUUCAUCAGGUGAAGUCGUAUGCGUGGAAGGUACCGAACGAGAUACUGAAGCUCUUGCUCUGGUUGAGUCGAGAAUUUGUGACGUUGAUUAUAUUCCAGAAUUAAAUGCUACGAAUUACAUAACUGAUUCCAAUAGUACUGAAGUGAAGACUGGCAGUUGUAUAAGGACAAAGGAACACUCGUUGCUGUAAUGGCUAAAUAUAAAAUAAAGAACAACUUCAAUUUUCGAGUGAAAAGAUCGGAUAAGAAAAGGUAUUUGAAUGCUUUCUCUAUGAUUUGAUUGUUUUUCUCUAGUACAUUUUUAUUUAUAUUGUAUCUGAUACAUAAGUAUAAGUAGUAUAUAUUUUAUUGUGAUAAUUAUAACAUUGCUUUUCUUAUAUGAAUUAAACCAAUAAAAAAAUUUGGACAACUAUGUGUUGGUUUGCUUCAGCGACCAAUGUGGAUGGACCUUAAAAUCAUCUUGCAGACAAAAAUCUGAUGUAUUCAAAAUGAGAUUUUCAAUAGUGAACAUACAUGUCCGAUGAGGGAUAGGAUACUAACAAAAGUACAAGCAACAAUUGGAUUUAUUAGUGGUGUGACUGCCCUUAAUUUAGUAAAUCAUAAACGAAUCCAUACACCUCGAGAUGUAAUUGAAGAUAUUAGAGAAUUGUAUGGGGUUGAGAUACCGUACCAACAAGCAUGACGUGCUAGAGAACGUGCACUAGAAAUGCUCAAGGGUAAGCCAUCAGAAGGAUAUAAACAGAUGCCGAGAUACAUAUGGAUGCUAAAUAAAGUGUAUCCAAAUUCAUAUAUAAGGAUGCAAAAUACGGAAGAUAAUAAAUUCAUGUAUCUGUUCAUAGCCCUAAGACCGUUGAUAAGAGGGUUCCACUACUGCAGGCCUGUAGUUGUAGUGGACGCUGCACAUCUUGGCGGGGCUUACAAGAGUACUUUUGUAUCAGCAAGCACACUCAAUGGUGCAGGAUGCAUAUUGCCAUUGGCAUAUGGUGUUGUAGACACUGAAAAUGACUGUUCAUGGACACGGUUCUUCGAACAGUUCAAAAAAUGCAUUUGGUGAGCGUGAAAACAUGUGUAUUGUAUCAGAUAGAAAUGAAAGUAUCAUAAAGAGUGUAAGCAUUGUGUACCCAAAUGUACCUCAUUGUGCAUGCAUAUGGCAUCUUUGGAAGAAUGUAUGUUCAAGCUUCAAAAGGAGUAAAAACACACUAAGUGAUAUAUUUUACUCAAUGGCAAAAGCAUACAGAAAGGAAGAUUUUGAUAAAUUUAUGGCUAAGGUUGUGAAUGUUGAUCACAGUGUAAAGGAUUACCUUGAAGAUGUUGGUUAUGAGAAGUGGUCAAGAGUUCAUUCAACCAUAAACAGAGGUAGAAUGAUGACUUCGAACAUCGCUGAGUGUAUCAAUGGAUGCCUUGUCGAUGCACGUAAGUUAACUAUAAUAGACUUCUAGGAGGAAGCUAGACUUCUAUUUGGUAGUUGGAACUAUAAAAAUAGAGAAAUAGCGUCAUAUACAAAGGACACAUUGGGCCGAAGAUUUGAGGAGAUAUUAAUUGUAAACGCAUCUAAAAGUUCAAAGAUGGAGGUAUUUAUCCAUUUCCCUGAACUUCUGUUUUAUGUAUCAGAAACAAACUGAUUUUCAAUGGUAACUGUUGUUUUGAAAAUGAUAUAUAAAUUGUAUACUACGUAAUGUAUCACUAACUUCUUAAAUUUUUAGGUUGUUCCAUCAUCUAAAUAUAUUUUCACAGUUCAUGAAGCCGGAAAAAGAUACAUUGUAUGCCUUGAGAGGAAAACUUGCACAUGUGGGAGGUUUCAACAUGAUGAGAUACCUUGAACACACGCAAUUGCAGUUUUGAAGCACAAGAAUGUUAUAAAUUUGCACCCAUAUUGCUCUGAUUACUACAAGCCGUAUGCAUUAGAAAAAACGUACGAGGUUGUAAUGGUUCCAAUGCCAGAUAAGGAGGAUUGGAACGUUCCAGAAUAUGUUUUAGAUGAAAUUGUUCGGCCACCUAGGUAUAGAAGGUUGGUUGGACGACCAAGAAAGCGAAGAAAGAAAAAUGCGGAUGAGAAAAUAACAGUGAACAAUAAUUCUUGUGGGCAGUGUGAACAAGAAGGACAUAACAGGAGAACUUGUACUUUCUUCCCGAAAGAGAAUUGAAAUAAUGUUUUAAAGUAGGACAUUAGUGUUCAUGGUACUUAUAUCUAUUUUUUUCUUUAGAAUUUGGACUAAAUAAAGUGUAUUGGUUACACAACUUAAUUUGAUGUUCAAAUAUAUGACUUUGCUGGAAA